This is a long non-coding RNA of Anthonomus grandis grandis, 761 nucleotides long. RefSeq lists it as uncharacterized. NCBI's taxonomy places the organism in Eukaryota, Metazoa, Arthropoda, Insecta, Coleoptera, Curculionidae. The transcript is spliced from 3 exons. The record is from RefSeq and is a predicted model, not a curated record.
AAUACUUUUCUAGUUGGCUGUUGCGAAGGGCCAAACAAAAUACUAGUUUUUAAUAAUCGGUAACCGGGGAGAUGAUUGACACUUCAAUCAAUAAUUUAAACUUUCUGUCGCAAGACUCGAAAUUAUAAAAAAAAUAUAAAUUUGUGUUUAUCAAUUUUUAAGCAAUAAAAUAAUGGCUAUGCAAAAUAGAUUUGAAAAUCGUUAUAAGUAUAUGAUUUCUUGCUAUAUCCAAUGUAAUGACAACGCGGAUGAAGCAGCUGAACUUUACUUCCAGAAGAAAUCUGUCAUCUGACGAUUUUUCGACUCCCACGAAACGGAGAAAAAAGUAAUAAAGAUUAAGGAAAGAGAUAAUAAGAUCAGAAGAGAAAAGCAUAUAUUGCAAAUGAUGGUGAGGAGACUAAGGCUUCGCAUCACAAACGUAUCUUCUUUGUUGGAUUACUUAAAUGAAAAGGCCUACAUUCUGGAAAAUGCUGAAACUGCCAUUAGGGAUUCUGUAUCUGGUCUGUUCCCCCGAAUUGGCUUUAACAACUCUUCCAAGUCUUCCUGUUAACAUCCGAAACUCCUCUUCUUAAUAUAUCUUUAAACACAUGUUUAAAGAGCUUAGGUUAGAGAAGGCAUUCUAUUCAUUGCAUAAAUAUUUUACUUUUGUCAUGUUUUUUUAUUUAUUUACUCAUCCUAUGUUUCUGACUGUAUUACUAAUAGAUUUGUGAGUAUUUUGAAAAUAUGAAUUUUUUAUAGCAUAUAUUUAACAUUUAUUUCAU